UCUAACCCCAUCUACAGUACAUUAGGUUGGUUUGUUCUCUUGCUCCGUUUGGCAGUGCAUGGAGCUGAGACGCGGAAAUUCAGUGAGAACAGACGACUACACCUCCUCUGAUUCAGAGAUUCAAGUAAGGAAUCCCCCACCCCAUCUGCUGAGGUCUGCGUUGAAUCCCCUGCACCCCCUUCUUCAGACAGAUAGAGGUUUUCAAAUGUGUAGAUAUCUGCACCAAGUGCAUUGAAGCAACCUGUACGGAAUCUGGCCUGCAUAUCUGUAUAAUUAAAACAAUGGCAGAA
Anguilla rostrata (American eel) is the source of this 290-nucleotide long non-coding RNA. RefSeq lists it as uncharacterized. The transcript has 2 exons. NCBI's taxonomy places the organism in Eukaryota, Metazoa, Chordata, Actinopteri, Anguilliformes, Anguillidae. The record is from RefSeq and is a predicted model, not a curated record.